GUUGAUUCACUGGAGUCUCACAUAUCUGUAGCUGGCAGGCACACUGCGCAUAGAUGGCUUGUGAAAAUGAAGGCAGGACUUUUACUUGAAGUGGAGUAUUUUCACAGAGUAGUAAUGCUCCUUUUACUUAGGUAAAGAACUCAAAACUUUUCCACCACUGGUAGCUGGUUGGCUUAGCUUUGCAUGAGGACUGGAAACAGGGGAAAACAACUAGCCAGGCCCCGUCCAAAGGUAACCAGCGCACCUCGAUGUUAAUAGUUAACGUGUUAUAUCUUGGUGGUUUAGACUGUCCUUCUUAUUCCUGGAAAUUCAUAUAAAAUUUUCCUAAAACAUCUAUCCCAGUCUAGUUGUCGUUGAACUAUUGGAGUACAGUCAUGGUUUUGGGCUCUUUUGAGAGGUUAUAAACUAUUUUUCGCAUAUUCACACAAACAUUAUGUGUGUAAAAUAGUCAAAAACAAGUGCUUAGGUGGAAAAAAGGUGGCCUAUUCAAAGAGCAAAAUGAAUAAAACUACAUGCACUUAAAAAACUUAACUUAAAAAGUGAUAUAAACUAUAUAUCACUGGAUUUAAAUUCCAACAUGAUGCAUCAAUGGAUGAUAGGCUGGCGUGUAAGCGGCUCAGGAGAGAGAAGACAGACAAGAGAAUGGAUCACUACUAAAGUACACAGACACUUUGGCUGCUCUGCUGGGAUCGGUGAAAGCACACCGGAGGAUAGUCUGUGCCGAAUGGAGAGCACAUUUCCAAAGGUCUAUGGGUCUUCAGACUACAGGCUGGAAAUAUGCAUGUCUUCCUCUUUCUCAGUUCAAAGUGAGAUGGGAACAGGGACUGCAGAAUUGGACACUAAUGAAAGUCAUUUACAAAUACACAAAUUCCAAAACACAUUCCAUGAAGGAAAUGUGUGUCUUGCUGCAUCCAUAGAAGACAGCCAACCUCUGCCAGACAUGGCGACCAGAUAACAACAGGAUUGAAGAUCACACACACCUCAUCCUCUUAUGGAGGAAAUGGAGGGAGGGUGAAGAGGAGGGACUUCUCCAGCACAUGCAGUGGUGAAAGCUCUCUCUACCGCGAUGUUGGAGAUUGUUACAAACUCAAAGGAAAGAGUGCACACCUCUACACUGGCAGUGGUGCAUCUGCAACUGUUAUAAGAUCAAAGGGGCCGUCUCCGAACUCUGUGAUCAAAUUUUAUUACAUGUAAUUGUGCACACACUCCAAAGUGCAGGAUGAUUGGCGCAUACAAAUUGAUCUAUUUACUGUGUGUGAUGUGAAAUGGGGGGCUGCCCAGCGUUAUAAACCCACCGAGAGCUAUUGAUGUGAAGGUAAGAGAACAAGAGAACAAUAAGAAUAUCACACAGCCACAAAGAGCAGCCAACCUGAACUUGUACAAGUUUCAUAUAGUGUGGGUUACACAACGAAUUGCAUUAUGUGAGGAUUAGAUAAACCUGAUAAUAUUUUAUAUAAACAGUUUAUCGAAAGGUGAAAGCUUUGGCAAGGACUAAAGUCUUUUGUACAGCACACCUACAUGUUAAAUCUGAUUAUCUAAUCUCCAGUUUCCCCCGGGGAGUGUCUGCAUCACUUUACCACCACGACAAGGCUGUCAGAUCUUGUUGCAGCCAUUCUAGACAACGUUUGUGGUUCCACCAGAAUCGUCCCGGAAUGGCUCUCUACUCCGCUCCAUGGAGAAUCAUGCCAAAUCUAUUUUUUGACGGAAGCUUACAGCAGCCUUGUCAAGCUACACAGAGCAGAUUGAGCCAGGCAGGAAUACAGACAGUGGAACAUAAAAACACAAAAUAAAACAGAUUCAUGAGCAGCACCACAAACAGUUGGAAGCAUUUGGGCUGGCAGUCCGAACAAGAAUUUAGAGAGACAAAGUUUAUUACUUUUAAUAUUUACU
Molecule: long non-coding RNA, 1890 nt
Organism: Acanthopagrus latus (yellowfin seabream)
Lineage: Eukaryota; Metazoa; Chordata; Actinopteri; Spariformes; Sparidae
Exons: 3
Source: RefSeq, a predicted model, not a curated record